GAUGAACGCUGGCGGCGUGCCUAAUACAUGCAAGUCGAGCGAACGGACGAGAAGCUUGCUCCUCUGAUGUUAGCGGCGGACGGGUGAGUAACACGUGGAUAACCUACCUAUAAGACUGGGAUAACUUCGGGAAACCGGAGCUAAUACCGGAUAAUAUUUUGAACCGCAUGGUUCAAAAGUGAAAGACGGUCUUGCUGUCACUUAUAGAUGGAUCCGCGCUGCAUUAGCUAGUUGGUAAGGUAACGGCUUACCAAGGCAACGAUGCGUAGCCGACCUGAGAGGGUGAUCGGCCACACUGGAACUGAGACACGGUCCAGACUCCUACGGGAGGCAGCAGUAGGGAAUCUUCCGCAAUGGGCGAAAGCCUGACGGAGCAACGCCGCGUGAGUGAUGAAGGUCUUCGGAUCGUAAAACUCUGUUAUUAGGGAAGAACAUAUGUGUAAGUAACUAUGCACAUCUUGACGGUACCUAAUCAGAAAGCCACGGCUAACUACGUG
RNAcentral lists this ribosomal RNA (497 nucleotides) under uncultured bacterium. RNAcentral describes it as "partial 16S ribosomal RNA". It matches the Rfam family "Bacterial small subunit ribosomal RNA", at positions 28 to 507 of the family's 1533-position model. The record is from RNAcentral.